GGAUGACAAAAGAUAUGACCAUUUAGCCCUUAAUCUCUUCCUCUUGCUAUCCCUAAUAGAUGUCUUCCUUGGAAAGACCCUUCAUUAAAAGAAAGACUCCAGCACCAGAUGUCUGCUAUUUAAUUUCAACUAAUCAGUCCUAACUCGACUCUGCCACUGACUCUCUUCAUGGGUGAAAAUUAGUAUCUAAUUUUUGGUAGCUCACUGAGCAGUUUUUGGCAAAGUAACCAUUCAAGCCAUGCUUCCAUUUGUCUGCUAUUGUCCUGGUGGGAUGUUUCUCCAGUCUCACUGAUGUGUUCAUUAAUGUCAGUGUUCACGUUCAAUGGUGGUGAUUGGCGAAGACAGGGAACAAGAACCAGGAAGAAGAAGAGGCGCUGACAGUGAUGGCCCCGCUCAUAGGAGCAGUAGAAUAAUGCUGCAGUUUACUAGCUGGGGUUAGUAAUGUCCUCAUUUUCCCUCUCACUCUGAAUCUUUGCCCUGGAUAAGGGGGAGUUGAAUUUAGCUUUAAGAAGGGAUUAGUAAGAAGAGAAUGUGAAUGUUGGUUUGACAGGUGGGGUGGGGGAGGCCACUAAAGCCCAGGGGCCAACAGCCAUGCUAGCACUUGCUUUUCCUCCAUGUUCAAAACCCAGCACUAGUAGGUUUCCAUUCUAAAAAAACAUAACAAAAACUAAGCCAUUUGAGUGUGAAUGUUACUAACAACGUGGUGGUGAGGAUAUUUGGAUUAGAAUUUUAUCUUUUUUUUCAAGCUGAGGCUGUGUUUAAAAUUUCAUCGGUGAUUUCCCUUUAUUUACACAUUAGAAUUAUUGAGAAUUUUU
This 815-nucleotide long non-coding RNA is filed under the name Bos taurus (domestic cattle). RNAcentral describes it as "long non-coding RNA NONBTAT006256". The record is from RNAcentral. Lineage: Eukaryota; Metazoa; Chordata; Mammalia; Artiodactyla; Bovidae.